UACAGAGGUGGCAAGCGUUGUUCGGAAUUACUGGGCGUAAAGGGCGCGUAGGCGGCCUUCUAAGUCGGACGUGAAAGCCUCAGGCUUAACCUGGGAACUGCGUCCGAUACUGGAAGGCUUGGAUUCGGGAGAGGGAUGUGGAAUUCCAGGUGUAGCGGUGAAAUGCGUAGAUAUCUGGAGGAACACCGGUGGCGAAGGCGGCAUCCUGGACCGAGAUCGACGCUGAGGCGCGAAAGCUAGGGGAGCAAACGGG
Molecule: ribosomal RNA, 253 nt
Filed under: uncultured bacterium
Lineage: Bacteria
Description: partial 16S ribosomal RNA
Rfam family: Bacterial small subunit ribosomal RNA
Source: RNAcentral